UACGGAGGGUGCAAACGUUGCUCGGAAUUAUUGGGCGUAAAGCGCACGUAGGCGGCACGUUAAGUCGGAUGUGAAAGCCCGGGGCUCAACCCCGGAAGGGCAUUCGAAACUGGCGCGCUGGAGUACGGAAGAGGGUCGCGGAAUUCCCGGUGUAGAGGUGAAAUUCGUAGAUAUCGGGAGGAACACCAGUGGCGAAGGCGGCGACCUGGGCCGAUACUGACGCUGAGGUGCGAAAGCGUGGGGAGCAAACAGG
This 253-nucleotide ribosomal RNA is filed under the name uncultured bacterium. Its description in RNAcentral is "partial 16S ribosomal RNA". It matches the Rfam family "Bacterial small subunit ribosomal RNA", at positions 524 to 776 of the family's 1533-position model. The record is from RNAcentral.